Molecule: long non-coding RNA, 761 nt
Filed under: Nicotiana tabacum (common tobacco)
Lineage: Eukaryota; Viridiplantae; Streptophyta; Magnoliopsida; Solanales; Solanaceae
Description: long non-coding RNA (NTAB_LNC005775)
Source: RNAcentral
CCUCUUUUUAUUUUGGAUUGAGACUACUUCUGUUGGUCAUCUCGGACUGUUGUCCCGUAUUCUUGUCGUGAGUUUUUUUUGUUGCUGACUUGAAUUGCAUUCUGAACUGAAUUCCCUUAUUCUCCAGGUGGCGCCUGAUUGCCAAUAUUUGGACUGCAUUCUCGUGCUUUCCAUGUGGGCGCCUGAUUGCCAAAACUUUAACUGUAUUCACGUGCUCUCCAGUUGGGCGCCUGAUUGCUAAAACUUGAAUUGUAUUCUCGUGCUCUCCAGGUGGGCGCCUAAUUGCUGAACUUGAACUGUAUUCCCGUGCUCUCCAGGUAGGCGCCUGAUUGCCAAAACAUUGAACUAUAUUCAUGUGCUCUCUAGGUGGGCGCCUGAUUGCCAAAACUUUAACUGUAUUCUCUUGCUCUCCAGGUGGCCGCCUGAUUGCCAAACUUGAAUUGUAUUCCCGUGCUCUCCAGGUGGGCGCCUGAUUGCUGAAUUUUAACUGUAUUCCCUUGCUCUCCAGGUGGGAGCCUGAUUGCUGAACUCGAACUGCUUCUCCUUAUUCUCCAGGUGGGUGCCUGAUUGCUGAAUUUGAACUGCUUCUCCUUGUUCUCUAGGUGGGUGCCUGAUUGCUAAACUUGAACUGUAUUCCCUUGCUCACCAGGUGGGUGCCUGAUUGCCAAAAUUUGAACUGUAUUCCCGUGCUCUCCAGGUAGGCACCUGAUUGCUGAACUUGAACUGUAUUCCCUUGCUCUCCAGGUGGGCGCCUGAUUGCC